UAAAUGUAACAGAUCAGGAUU
This 21-nucleotide non-coding RNA is filed under the name Caenorhabditis elegans. The record is from RNAcentral. Lineage: Eukaryota; Metazoa; Nematoda; Chromadorea; Rhabditida; Rhabditidae.